GAUAAACGCUGGCGGCGCACAUAAGACAUGCAAGUUGAACGGACUUAAUCGAAAUAUUUAUAUUUUGAAGCGGUUAGUGGCGGACUGGUGAGUAACGCGUAAGGAACCUGCCUAUUAGAGGGGAAUAACAGUGAGAAAUCAUUGCUAAUACCGCAUAUGCCAUAGAUAUCACAUGAUAACAGUGGGAAAGGAGCAAUCCGCUAAUAGAUGGCCUUGCGUCUGAUUAGAUAGUUGGUGGGGUAACGGCCUACCAAGUCGACGAUCAGUAGCCGGACUGAGAGGUUGAACGGCCACAUUGGGACUGAGAUACGGCCCAGACUCCUACGGGAGGCAGCAGUCGGGAAUAUUGUGCAAUGGAGGAAACUCUGACGCAGUGACGCCGCGUAUAGGAAGAAGGUUUUCGGAUUGUAAACUAUUGUCGUUAGGGAAGAGAAAGGACAGUACCUAAGGAGGAAGCUCCGGCUAACUACGUG
This 473-nucleotide ribosomal RNA is filed under the name uncultured bacterium. Its description in RNAcentral is "partial 16S ribosomal RNA". It matches the Rfam family "Bacterial small subunit ribosomal RNA", at positions 28 to 507 of the family's 1533-position model. The record is from RNAcentral.